AUGUCCGGCCGCGGCAAGGGAGGGAAGGGCCUCGGCAAGGGCGGUGCCAAGCGCCACCGGAAGGUUCUCCGCGACAACAUCCAGGGCAUCACCAAGCCGGCCAUCCGCCGUCUGGCGCGCAGGGGCGGCGUGAAGCGCAUCUCGGGGCUCAUCUACGAGGAGACCCGUGGCGUGCUCAAGAUCUUCCUUGAGAACGUCAUCCGCGACGCCGUCACCUACACGGAGCACGCCCGCCGCAAGACCGUCACCGCCAUGGACGUCGUCUACGCGCUCAAGCGACAGGGCCGCACCCUCUACGGAUUCGGCGGCUGA
This 312-nucleotide ribosomal RNA is filed under the name Triticum aestivum (bread wheat). Its description in RNAcentral is "partial small subunit ribosomal RNA". Lineage: Eukaryota; Viridiplantae; Streptophyta; Magnoliopsida; Poales; Poaceae. The record is from RNAcentral.